GUCACCGGACGCUCUUAAAGGGGCACCGGACGCUCAACACCAGUGUCCGGUGCUCCAACGUCAGCCGCGUGUCAGAGUCUAACGGUAACCUGCAGAGCACCGGACGCUGAGCAGGUUAGCACCGGACGCGUCCGGUGCACACCGGACCCGUGCGCAGAGAGCUCCGCAAACUCGCAGGGUCACCGGACGCAAGCCACCGGACGCACCCAGAGCGUCCGGUGCUCAC
This 226-nucleotide long non-coding RNA is filed under the name Sorghum bicolor (sorghum). RNAcentral's name for it is "long non-coding RNA (SBIC_LNC010591)". Lineage: Eukaryota; Viridiplantae; Streptophyta; Magnoliopsida; Poales; Poaceae. The record is from RNAcentral.